RNAcentral lists this ribosomal RNA (253 nucleotides) under uncultured bacterium. Its description in RNAcentral is "partial 16S ribosomal RNA". It matches the Rfam family "Bacterial small subunit ribosomal RNA", at positions 524 to 776 of the family's 1533-position model. The record is from RNAcentral.
UACGAAGGGGGCUAGCGUUGCUCGGAAUCACUGGGCGUAAAGGGUGCGUAGGCGGGUCUUUAAGUCAGGGGUGAAAUCCUGGAGCUCAACUCCAGAACUGCCUUUGAUACUGACGAUCUUGAGUUCGGGAGAGGUGAGUGGAACUGCGAGUGUAGAGGUGAAAUUCGUAGAUAUUCGCAAGAACACCAGUGGCGAAGGCGGCUCACUGGUCCGGUACUGACGCUGAGGUGCGAAAGCGUGGGGAGCAAACAGG